Cannabis sativa is the source of this 392-nucleotide long non-coding RNA. RefSeq lists it as uncharacterized. The record is from RefSeq and is a predicted model, not a curated record. The transcript is spliced from 3 exons. NCBI's taxonomy places the organism in Eukaryota, Viridiplantae, Streptophyta, Magnoliopsida, Rosales, Cannabaceae.
GAUUUGCUUGGUGUUCAAGCUUGAAAUUGAAGAAUUAUUUGAGGAGUUGUGGCUUGAUCAUUGCAUUGAAGCUUGAGAAUUGUGACUAGGAUUACCGGCACUUGGUCAGGAGCACCCGGGGAUUUGGAAUCUCCAUAUUUGCGGGACAUCAGGAAAGGGUAAAUCUGUUUCUGAUCAGCCAUGAGUAGGGGAGUUGGGCGAUGUAUGUACAUGUUCGGGCCACACUAGACUAAGCGGGUUGGGGUCUACCAGUGAUGAUUUUUUUUGUAACUCUGUUUUGCCGCUUAGGUCGGUUAUUCGAAACAGACUUGUAAUAUUUUGUAAAUUGUUUUUUGGGAUCCCGAGACAUGUAACUUUUGUUUGUUUGUAAAGUUAAAAUUAUUACAAGUUUA